Molecule: ribosomal RNA, 373 nt
Filed under: uncultured organism
Description: partial 16S ribosomal RNA
Rfam family: Bacterial small subunit ribosomal RNA
Source: RNAcentral
GUAGGUGGCAAGCGUUGUCCGGAAUUAUUGGGGCGUAAAGCGCGCGCAGGCGGUUCUUUAAGUCUGAUGUGAAAGCCCACGGCUCAACCGUGGAGGGUCAUUGGAAACUGGAGAACUUGAGUACAGAAGAGGAAAGCGGAAUUCCACGUGUAGCGGUGAAAUGCGUAGCGAUGUGGAGGAACACCAGUGGCGAAGGCGGCUUUCUGGUCUGUAACUGACGCUGAGGCGCGAAAGCGUGGGGAGCAAACAGGAUUAGAUACCCUGGUAGUCCACGCCGUAAACGAUGAGUGCUAAGUGUUAGGGGGGUUUCCGCCCCUUAGUGCUGCAGCUAACGCAUUAAGCACUCCGCCUGGGGAGUACGGCCGCGAGGCUG